GUACGGUCAACCAAUUUGAUUCCUAGGCCACUAUAGCCUCGUAAGGCCCAAGGUCCUACCUAUAGGACUUAUUAGUUCGAUUAAAUUUAAAUCAUAUUCAAUUAGGACAGAGUUGCAUUUGUUUUGAUUCGUGCAAUUUUCAAACAAAAUAAAAUCAACUGUAUUCCGUGCACUAUAGAUUCAAAUUCCAGUGGCAAAUUUUGGAUUUUUCAUUUCUAUGGCAGGGCCUUAAGAGGAUAGAACCAUGUCAUAAUGACUUCUACGACAGUGCUUAUUGAGUGAUGCAUGUCAUGUAUAGAGUAGUUAAAGCGACAAGGUUCUAUAGUGGCCUAGGAUUCAAAUUGGUUGACUGUACACGGUCGUGAUGAUGAUACAAUCAUCGUUUAUAUGAUAUAAAGUCUAAUUUCACAAAUUUUGGAAGUAACGAUUUCCAUGCCUGAAUAAAAAUAGCUAUAUGAGAAAUUUGCCGCUACUGUACCUAAAUCGGUCUCUCUAGAUUAACCCGAUAUUUUCUGAACCAUGACUGUUUCAUAUUAAAGCCAAUAAAUCGUACAAGUGCCAAUUCUCUUCGCUGGACUCCAGUUCAUAUAUAAACAAAACAUUUGAUGUGCGUUUUAUUUGUUUUGGAUUCUUCGUCCAACAAUGGUUUUCAAAUUAUUCCUUGUUGCGCUGGUCCUCGCCACAGUGCUGGCGGUGGUGGCCGGGCAGUACUGGCCAACGUUCAACGAACUCUCCAGAUUGCUCCCAGAAAAGGUUCUGCAAGACAAGUUCCAGUGCGGUCCUGGAAAGCAUUUGGACGAGAACGGAGUGUGUCAACCAAACACGUCAUAAUGGAAACGAGGGAAAUAUAUUAUAAUAAUAUGAGCUUUGAGGGAGACUUUUGAUUAUUUUUGUUAAAUACUAAAAUUAAUUUAUUCUUCUACCAUUGUGAUUUUCUGUUAAUCUAAAUACAACCUUUAUGACUUCA
Long non-coding RNA from Cydia pomonella (codling moth), 967 nucleotides. RefSeq lists it as uncharacterized. The transcript is spliced from 2 exons. The record is from RefSeq and is a predicted model, not a curated record. Lineage: Eukaryota; Metazoa; Arthropoda; Insecta; Lepidoptera; Tortricidae.